Long non-coding RNA from Camelus dromedarius (Arabian camel), 1403 nucleotides. RefSeq lists it as uncharacterized. The transcript is spliced from 3 exons. The record is from RefSeq and is a predicted model, not a curated record. Lineage: Eukaryota; Metazoa; Chordata; Mammalia; Artiodactyla; Camelidae.
AGGGGAGCCCCGAGAAGGCAGGGUCCCGCUCAGAGCCAGCCGGAAGGUUCUCUGAGCAGAGCUGUUGAGAUAGAGUCCUUUGUUUCUGAAAACACUCCGCCUUUAUUAGAACCACUGGGUGAUUUGCAUGCGUUGCCUCCAGUUCUCCAGUGAGUCAGGAGGGUUUAUGCUGGUUCCCAGGUGCAGAAAGGGAAAUCCACUUGCUCCACACCGGCUGUGAGAAAAUUUGGAAUCACAAGGUAGCACUGUCACCCUGAUCUCUUUUCUCCCCUGCACUCACCCGCCUGCCUGCCUGCGUACCACCUGGGCCCCCAGGAAGGGGACAGAGUCCUGCCUGUUCCUUCUGCUGUACCCCAGCACACAUGGCGGUGGCUGUUGAGUGGACGAGGUGCCCGUGCUAUGUCUGGAGUUGCCCGAGGCUUUGUUCCUGAGCCUCUGCACUUGGGGUGGGCUGAGGAGGAGGAGGAGGGCUGGGGUCCACGGUCAUGGGGGUGGGGGGGACAGAGCACAACAGGGAUUUGAGGCCAAGCACUGUCUCUUGUUCACUUUGCCCCUCUGCCUGUGACCAUCUGUCCUGUGAGGCCCUCACUCUGCCCAGAGGUUCUGAUGGGCUCCUGGAGAGGCUGGGGGAGCUGCCGCCUUGGCGGGCUCACACCAGAGCCGGACCACGUAACUGGGAUGCCGGUCAGCGAUUGGGUUGGACCGACCUUCGGUGUGAAUCUGUCUGGUGCUUCCCGCUGAUGAGAAGGAGCUGGUGCCGUUCGAACCAAGACUCCCCCCACCAUCCCCGCAGCCUCCUGCACUUUCCCACCUUGGCUGGGACACACAUUUCCACAUGGGAAGAGCAGGGAGGUCGGAGAAGCUACGGGGUCCCAAGAGUGACAUGGGAGCUCGUGCGGAUGUCUGCGGAUGCCGCCACGUCGGCCCGGGCCACGCCGGGGCCACGUCCACCUGCCUGCCAGUCCCACAGGAAUACUGCUCCCAGGAAAGCCUUCCUCGAACCCGAUGGGGUGGGACCCUGGGGAACGUUGGUCCCUGACUGACUGGGGUGGAGGGUGUUAGGCUCAGCCGUGGUUCGUCCUGCCAGGUUCCCCAGACGUGUGUAACGUGUUCCCUUCUGAGCAAAGGCGUGACAGAAUGGUAGUUACGCCUAAGCCAAUGCAGCUGCGUGGUGUCUGUCACUGGGUCUCUUCCAGCAGAGCCACAAGCCCUUUGACGUCUGUGACUUGGUUUCUCUCUGUCUCUUUUUUUCCCCUUUUUCAAACAGAGGUGCUGGGAGUCGAACCAAGUACCUCGUGCAUGCUUAGCCUGCGCUCUACCAACCACAGGCGUCUGUGGCUUGGAUGCUAAGAUGCAUGUGCCUUGUAUCUCGACCGGAUGGAGGUGGAGGCGGGCAAGGAGAG